RNAcentral lists this ribosomal RNA (512 nucleotides) under uncultured bacterium. RNAcentral describes it as "partial 16S ribosomal RNA". It matches the Rfam family "Bacterial small subunit ribosomal RNA", at positions 28 to 507 of the family's 1533-position model. The record is from RNAcentral.
GAUGAACGCUGGCGGUGUGCCUAAUACAUGCAAGUCGAACGAAACUUCUUUAUCACCGAGUGCUUGCACUCACCGAUAAAGAGUUGAGUGGCGAACGGGUGAGUAACACGUGGGCAACCUGCCCAAAAGAGGGGGAUAACACUUGGAAACAGGUGCUAAUACCGCAUAACCAUAGUUACCGCAUGGUAACUAUGUAAAAGGUGGCUAUACUACCGCUUUUGGAUGGGCCCGCGGCGCAUUAGCUAGUUGGUAGGGUAAAGGCUUACCAAGGCAAUGAUGCGUAGCCGAAUUGAGAGGUUGAUCGGCCACAUUGGGACUGAGACACGGCCCAAACUCCUACGGGAGGCAGCAGUAGGGAAUCUUCCACAAUGGGCGAAAGCCUGAUGGAGCAACGCCGCGUGGGUGAAGAAGGUCUUCGGAUCGUAAAACCCUGUUGUUAGAGAAGAAAGUGCGUGAGAGUAACUGUUCACGUUUCGACGGUAUCUAACCAGAAAGCCACGGCUAACUACGUG